ACGGAAGGCAGCAGUGAGGAAUAUUGGUCAAUGGACGCAGGUCUGAACCAGCCAAGUCGCGUGAGGGAUGGCGGUCCUAUGGAUUGUAAACCUCUUUUGUCGGGGAGUAACGUGCGGGACGUGUCCCGUAUUGAGAGUACCCGAAGAAAAAGCAUCGGCUAACUCCGUGCCAGCAGCCGCGGUAAUACGGAGGAUGCGAGCGUUAUCCGGAUUUAUUGGGUUUAAAGGGAGCGCAGGCGGCGCGUCAAGUCAGCGGUAAAAUGUCGGGGCUCAACCCCGGCCGGCCGUUGAAACUGCCGUGCUCGAGUUCGUGCGAGGAGAGCGGAAUGCGUGGUGUAGCGGUGAAAUGCAUAGAUAUCACGCAGAACGCCGAUUGCGAAGGCAGCCCUCCAGCACUGGACUGACGCUGAGGCUCGAAAGCGUGGUAUCGAACAGGAUUAGAUACCCUGGUA
RNAcentral lists this ribosomal RNA (452 nucleotides) under uncultured Barnesiella sp. Its description in RNAcentral is "partial 16S ribosomal RNA". It matches the Rfam family "Bacterial small subunit ribosomal RNA", at positions 341 to 792 of the family's 1533-position model. The record is from RNAcentral. Lineage: Bacteria; Pseudomonadati; Bacteroidota; Bacteroidia; Bacteroidales; Barnesiellaceae.